Molecule: ribosomal RNA, 613 nt
Filed under: Debaryomyces hansenii
Lineage: Eukaryota; Fungi; Ascomycota; Pichiomycetes; Serinales; Debaryomycetaceae
Description: eukaryotic LSU rRNA
Rfam family: Eukaryotic large subunit ribosomal RNA
Source: RNAcentral
GCAUAUCAAUAAGCGGAGGAAAAGAAACCAACAGGGAUUGCCUUAGUAACGGCGAGUGAAGCGGCAAAAGCUCAAAUUUGAAAUCUGGCACCUUCGGUGUCCGAGUUGUAAUUUGAAGAAGGUAACUUUGGAGUUGGCUCUUGUCUAUGUUCCUUGGAACAGGACGUCACAGAGGGUGAGAAUCCCGUGCGAUGAGAUGCCCAAUUCUAUGUAAAGUGCUUUCGAAGAGUCGAGUUGUUUGGGAAUGCAGCUAUAAGUGGGUGGUAAAUUCCAUCUAAAGCUAAAUAUUGGCGAGAGACCGAUAGCGAACAAGUACAGUGAUGGAAAGAUGAAAAGAACUUUGAAAAGAGAGUGAAAAAGUACGUGAAAUUGUUGAAAGGGAAGGGCUUGAGAUCAGACUUGGUAUUUUGCGAUCCUUUCCUUCUUGGUUGGGUUCCUCGCAGCUUACUGGGCCAGCAUCGGUUUGGAUGGUAGGAUAAUGACUAAGGAAUGUGGCUCUACUUCGGUGGAGUGUUAUAGCCUUGGUUGAUACUGCCUGUCUAGACCGAGGACUGCGUCUUUGACUAGGAUGCUGGCAUAAUGAUCUUAAGCCACCCGUCUUGAAACACGGACC